RNAcentral lists this non-coding RNA (151 nucleotides) under uncultured Prevotella sp. Lineage: Bacteria; Pseudomonadati; Bacteroidota; Bacteroidia; Bacteroidales; Prevotellaceae. The record is from RNAcentral.
UGGUUCAUAUCGAUUGAUUAAAAAGGGAAUCAGGUGCGAGUCCUGAACAGUCCCGCUGCUGUGAGCGGUGUUAUAGAUAUACAGCAAGUCACUGUCGGCCUUUGACGGGAAGACGUAUAUCUGCCGCAAGUCAGAAGACCUGCCGUUGCAA